ACGAUGCUAUGAUCCCUUGUACACAGCUUUGCAAGCCCAAAAUCUGAAAUCUUUGGACUGAAGCUGUAGUCCAGCAAGAUGUUGUGAGGCUUGAUGUCGAAAUGGAGGAUGCGCUGAUUGCACCCUUGAUGCAGUGAUCCGUUAGGCAUGAAUUCAUAGAUAAGAGCACGCCUUGUUCCAUCUGAGCAGAAUCCCAAGAGACGGACCACAUUAGCAUGGUGGAUUCUACCAAUGGUUGCAACUUCAUUCAUGAAUUCUUCUCCAUCGCUCUUUGAGUUCUCCAGCAUCUUUACUGCCACAGGGAUCGAUAGAGUGCUGUGGCUGCCGUCAACAAGAGAACCACAAAUGUGGCUACCGAUGAUGUUGCUGAAAAACAAGAAUGCAGGCAAACAGUGAGUUAUCUUGCUUUCAUGUCUUUCCUCUUAUAUAUGGGUAAGAUGCAAGAAUAAGAGUAAUAUACAACAAAAUGUAUGCAUAAUACCUGCAAUGACUUUCACACGUGAACCUGCAUGUAGGAAAUAAGCGAUUUAGAUUUUUUGUGCAAAAUAAUACUCCCUCCGUUCCUAAAUAUUUGUCUUUUUAGAGAUUUCAAAUAGACUACCACAUACGGAUGUAUAUAGACAUAUUUUAGAGUGUAGAUUCACUCAUUUUGCUUCGUAUGUAGUCACUUGUUGAAAUAUCUAGAAAGACAAAUAUUUAGGAAUGGAGGGAGUAGAAGGCUUACAAUUUCUAUUUCUUUUUGUAAGAGAGAAAAAAAGGCUACUGACUUCUUUCUCAUGCCAGUUUUUUGUUGAUGGAAUGGAAAAGAGAUUCAACACAUGACAGUAGCUAAUUUGUGGUAAAACAAAGAUCAGUAAUAUACAUUUUUUGUAAUGAUGAAACUAUUUGCAUAUAUCUGAACUUUCUUGGGACAUCAUUUUUUUUUUCUUCAAUAAUAACUUUGAAAGUAUGAGCAUCACAAAAAUGCAGUUUAGUUGGGCUGGAAUUCAGGCCUUCUUUCCAGAAGGUGUUGUAACACUUAUAACAUGAAUAAACCUCAUUGGCUUUUGCAUAA
This is a non-coding RNA of Aegilops tauschii subsp. strangulata, 1054 nucleotides long. The record is from RefSeq and is a predicted model, not a curated record. NCBI's taxonomy places the organism in Eukaryota, Viridiplantae, Streptophyta, Magnoliopsida, Poales, Poaceae.